UGGCGCGUGGCUCAACGGCAGAGCACCUGACUCUGGAUCAGGGGAUUCCAGGUUCGAAUCCUGGCUCGCCAGCCA
This 75-nucleotide transfer RNA is filed under the name Chloroflexota bacterium. Its description in RNAcentral is "Chloroflexi bacterium (bioreactor metagenome) tRNA-Gln". It matches the Rfam family "tRNA". From Rfam's summary of the family: Transfer RNA (tRNA) molecules are approximately 80 nucleotides in length. Their secondary structure includes four short double-helical elements and three loops (D, anti-codon, and T loops). The record is from RNAcentral. Lineage: Bacteria; Bacillati; Chloroflexota. RNAcentral also lists the same sequence under 1 other name.